Molecule: small nucleolar RNA, 137 nt
Organism: Engraulis encrasicolus (European anchovy)
Lineage: Eukaryota; Metazoa; Chordata; Actinopteri; Clupeiformes; Engraulidae
Source: RefSeq, a predicted model, not a curated record
GUGCACUGUCUUUGAACCUGUGUUGCCUUCACCAUGGUUUCAUAGGCCAAGCUACAGUGCAAUAGCAAACUUACUUGUUAUAACUGGGGCUUCUUGGCAUUCUCCCCAAGCUGCUCUUUUAAAUGCAAGUUACAGGU